CCAGAGAACUUAGCAGAGAUGCUUUGGUGCCUUCGGGAACUCUGAGACAGGUGCUGCAUGGCUGUCGUCAGCUCGUGUUGUGAAAUGUUGGGUUAAGUCCCGCAACGAGCGCAACCCUUAUCCUUUGUUGCCAGCGGCUCGGCCGGGAACUCAAAGGAGACUGCCGGUGAUAAACCGGAGGAAGGUGGGAUGACGUCAAGUCAUCAUGGCCCUUACGGCCAGGGCUACACACGUGCUACAAUGGCGCAUACAAAGAGAAGCGACCUCGCGAGAGCAAGCGGACCUCAUAAAGUGCGUCGUAGUCCGGAUUGGAGUCUGCAACUCGACUCCAUGAAGUCGGAAUCGCUAGUAAUCGUAGAUCAGAAUGCUACGGUGAAUACGUUCCCGGGCCUUGUACACACCGCCCGUCACACCAUGGGAGUGGGUUGCAAAAGAAGUAGGUAGCUUAACCUUCGGGAGGGCGCUUACCACUUUGUGAUUCAUGACUGGGGUGAAGUCGUAACAAGGUAGGCGUAGCGAG
This 520-nucleotide ribosomal RNA is filed under the name uncultured bacterium. RNAcentral's name for it is "bacterial SSU rRNA". It matches the Rfam family "Bacterial small subunit ribosomal RNA", at positions 988 to 1509 of the family's 1533-position model. The record is from RNAcentral.